RNAcentral lists this ribosomal RNA (246 nucleotides) under Triticum aestivum (bread wheat). Its description in RNAcentral is "partial small subunit ribosomal RNA". The record is from RNAcentral. Lineage: Eukaryota; Viridiplantae; Streptophyta; Magnoliopsida; Poales; Poaceae.
AUGAAAAUUCUGAGUUGGAACUGUCGAGGCUUGGGGCCACCUCGUAUAGUUCAAGAGCUCGUGUGUCUGACCAAGGCACACCUUCCCAAUGUUAUAUUUCUUUCAAAAACGAGAAAAAAUAUAGAGUAUGUUGAGGUUUUGCAUUAUAAGUUGGGUAUGAAUAAUGUGUUUACUGUUUUUGGCCAUGGUAAAGGUGGAGGGCUUGCUGUGUUUUGGGAUGAAGCGCACUCUUUGGAGCUGAACUAA